GAGCGGCAUGUCGCUUAGCAACCCAUGCGGUAUCCAUAGUAACGCGGGCAGUAUAGGCCAGAGUCGCCUGCGAUCGCUUAUACCGUGCAUCGAGGUGUAGUACAUAACGAUGAGCGCAGAACUGAGCGAGGAGCAGCUGCAGGAGCUGUAUGCCUGGAUAGACCAGGUGCCUCUCAGCCGAGCCAAGAGAAACAUUACACGGGACUUCAGUGAUGGAGUGUUGGUUGCAGAGGUCAUUAAACAUUUCAUCCCCAAGAUUGUGGAAAUGCACAACUACAUCCCAGCAAGCUCAACCCAACAGAAACUCUGCAACUGGGGAACUUUAAACCGGAAAGUAUUUUCCAAGCUGAACUCCCAUGUCCAAGAGGACCUUGUCCGAAAGAUUAUUUCCAAUUCACCCGGAGUGAUUGAGUCUGUUCUGUACACUCUGCGGCAGAAGAUCAAUGAGAAACUGCAAAACAGGUGCCAGAGAGAAAGGGACACACAGCAAGUCAAGGAAUCUGAAUACUACAGCACAGAUACAGCUCAAACUACAUAUGGGUCUAUGACUCAUACAUCACCCCAGUAUGGAAAAACAUUUCCUUACACAGGUUCCACAGACCAGGCACAGAAUCACACAAAAAGACCGGACGGUCGUUCACACCCAUAUGCACAUCUGGAACCUGGUGUACGCUUGUUGUUGGAAGAAAAAGAACAAGAAUUGCUAGCACUACAGGAAACUGUUCAAAUACUACAAAUGAAAGUCCAGCGCCUGGAGCACUUGGUACAGCUGAAGGACUUGAGGAUAGAAGAUUUAACAAGGACAACAACAACGGCACAACUCCCCACCCCCUUCCCCUUCCCACUCACCCUCCCCUUCUCACUCCCCCUCCCCUUCUCAUUCCCCCUCCCCUUCUCACUCCCCCUCCCCUUCACAGUCCCCCUCCCCUUCUCACUCCCCCUCCCCUUCACAGUCCCCCUCCCCUUCUCACUCCCCCUCCCCUUCACAGUCCCCCUCAGCUUCCCAGUCCCCAUCAUCUUCCCAGUCCACCUCAUCUUCCAAGGCCCCCUCAUCUUCCCUGGCCCACUCCACUUUCCAUUCCCCUUCUCACCACACCUCUCCAUCUCUUUCUGGGACCCCUUCUCCUCCUUCCCAUACCCCUUCUCCUUCAUCUUCGUCAUCCCCAUCUGAACCCCCCUCACCCUCUAUUGCCUUACAUUUCUCUCCACCCCCCUCGCCCUCGCAAUCAGACCCCCCCUCUGAAAUUGUUGCUCCAAUCCAGCCUCCUUCCCCAAUCCCUCCUCCUUCCCCAAUCCAUCCUCCUUCCCCAAUCCCUCCUCCUUCCCCAAUCCCUCCUCCUUUCACCAUCCCUCAGCCGGCUUCACCGAUCAUGCCAAGCUCACCACCCAGUGAAUGGGCACAGGAAGCCCCUGACGAACCAUCCGGGAGUCAGGAUGUUGCCGUGGAAAAUGUUGCCGUUGGAGAUCCAACAUCCUUGCAGGAUAUAGUUGGCAGUAUGAGGCGCCAUCUCCAGGCCUUGGUGGGGCUUUUGGACGCCAUGCAAAAAUUUUGUUAAUUUUAUUAUUAUAAUUUUAUAUAUUAUAAAAAAGGAUAAUAUCAGUAUUCCACUUUUAAAAAAAAAUAAACUAAUAAAUUUAAAAAC
RNA transcript from Pseudophryne corroboree (corroboree frog), 1643 nucleotides. It is a transcript of the gene named sperm flagellar protein 1-like, with no coding region annotated. The transcript has 9 exons. Lineage: Eukaryota; Metazoa; Chordata; Amphibia; Anura; Myobatrachidae. The record is from RefSeq and is a predicted model, not a curated record.